GAAUCGUCCGCAAUACGACGAAAGUCUGAGGGAGCAUGCCGCGUGAGUGAAGAAGGUUUUCCGAUCGUAAAACUCUGUUGUUAGAGAAGAACAAGGAUGAGAGUAACUGCUCCUCCCCUGGCGGUGUCUAACCCGGAAGGCCCGGGUCACUACGU
RNAcentral lists this ribosomal RNA (155 nucleotides) under bacterium SM4.1-S.45. RNAcentral's name for it is "partial 16S ribosomal RNA". It matches the Rfam family "Bacterial small subunit ribosomal RNA", at positions 359 to 506 of the family's 1533-position model. The record is from RNAcentral.